GGGUGGUAAUGCCGGAUGCUCCGGUUGGAUGCAUGUCCUUCCGGGAAAGAUUCCAUCGGUAUGGGAUGGGGUCGCGUCCUAUCAGCUUGAUGGCGGGGUAACGGCCCACCAUGGCUCCGACGGGUAGCCGGCCUGAGAGGGCGACCGGCCACAUUGGGACUGAGAUACGGCCCAGACUCCUACGGGAGGCAGCAGUGGGGAAUAUUGCACAAUGGGCGCAAGCCUGAUGCAGCGACGCCGCGUGCGGGAUGGAGGCCUUCGGGUUGUAAACCGCUUUUGAUCGGGAGCAAGCCCUUCGGGGUGAGUGUACCUUUCGAAUAAGCACCGGCUAACUACGUGCCAGCAGCCGCGGUAAUACGUAGGGUGCAAGCGUUAUCCGGAAUUAUUGGGCGUAAAGGGCUCGUAGGCGGUU
This 412-nucleotide ribosomal RNA is filed under the name uncultured Bifidobacterium sp. Its description in RNAcentral is "bacterial SSU rRNA". It matches the Rfam family "Bacterial small subunit ribosomal RNA", at positions 158 to 580 of the family's 1533-position model. Lineage: Bacteria; Bacillati; Actinomycetota; Actinomycetes; Bifidobacteriales; Bifidobacteriaceae. The record is from RNAcentral.